UACAUGAGGAAAGUAUAACUUAAAAUUACCAAAGAUAAUUCAUUCGUCAGGUGGGAACAGAUGGAAUUGAAAUUCAGCGAAAAAGAAUUCAGUUGUGAAACUCUAACCAAAAUUACAUGAGGAAAGUAUAACUUAAAAUUACCAAAGAUAAUUCAUUCGUCAGGUGGGAACAGAUGGAAUUGAAAUUCAGCGAAAAAGAAUUCAGUGGUGAAACUCUAACCAAAAUUAUAUGAGGAAAGCAUAACUUAAAAUUACCAAAGAUAAUUCAUUCGUGGGGUGGGAACAGAUGGAAUUGAAAUUCAGCGAAAAAGCUAUUCCAGCAUGGUCAAUGCUAACCCAGCUUGGCUCAUCACAAUGGUCAAUGCUAACCCAGCUUGGGUCAUCACAAUGGUCAACGCUAAACCUGCUUGGCUUAUCACGAUGGUCAACGCUCAACCAGCUUGGGUAUCACACGGUGCUUUAAGCAUCGCUCCCAUUCCACUCCCGGAGUAAUUUUUGGUAUGGUAGUAAGCUACGGCUUACAAGCCCCACUGGGGCUCUGCAUGAAUGCAUCCCUGAAUAAA
Molecule: long non-coding RNA, 563 nt
Organism: Rhagoletis zephyria (snowberry fruit fly)
Lineage: Eukaryota; Metazoa; Arthropoda; Insecta; Diptera; Tephritidae
Source: RefSeq, a predicted model, not a curated record